RNAcentral lists this ribosomal RNA (905 nucleotides) under Frondihabitans sp. Its description in RNAcentral is "bacterial SSU rRNA". It matches the Rfam family "Bacterial small subunit ribosomal RNA", at positions 495 to 1399 of the family's 1533-position model. Lineage: Bacteria; Bacillati; Actinomycetota; Actinomycetes; Micrococcales; Microbacteriaceae. The record is from RNAcentral.
GGCUAACUACGUGCCAGCAGCCGCGGUAAUACGUAGGGUGCAAGCGUUGUCCGGAAUUAUUGGGCGUAAAGAGCUCGUAGGCGGUUUGUCGCGUCUGAUGUGAAAUCUGGGGGCUCAACCCCCAGCCUGCAGUGGGUACGGGCAGACUAGAGUGCGGUAGGGGAGAUUGGAAUUCCUGGUGUAGCGGUGGAAUGCGCAGAUAUCAGGAGGAACACCGAUGGCGAAGGCAGAUCUCUGGGCCGUAACUGACGCUGAGGAGCGAAAGCAUGGGGAGCGAACAGGAUUAGAUACCCUGGUAGUCCAUGCCGUAAACGUUGGGAACUAGAUGUAGGGGCCAUUCCACGGUUUCUGUGUCGCAGCUAACGCAUUAAGUUCCCCGCCUGGGGAGUACGGCCGCAAGGCUAAAACUCAAAGGAAUUGACGGGGGCCCGCACAAGCGGCGGAGCAUGCGGAUUAAUUCGAUGCAACGCGAAGAACCUUACCAAGGCUUGACAUAUACCGGAAACGUCCAGAGAUGGUCGCCCCGCAAGGUCGGUAUACAGGUGGUGCAUGGUUGUCGUCAGCUCGUGUCGUGAGAUGUUGGGUUAAGUCCCGCAACGAGCGCAACCCUCGUUCUAUGUUGCCAGCACGUUAUGGUGGGAACUCAUAGGAGACUGCCGGGGUCAACUCGGAGGAAGGUGGGGAUGACGUCAAAUCAUCAUGCCCCUUAUGUCUUGGGCUUCACGCAUGCUACAAUGGCCGAUACAAAGGGCUGCAAUACCGUAAGGUGGAGCGAAUCCCAAAAAGUCGGUCUCAGUUCGGAUUGAGGUCUGCAACUCGACCUCAUGAAGUCGGAGUCGCUAGUAAUCGCAGAUCAGCAACGCUGCGGUGAAUACGUUCCCGGGCCUUGUACACACCGCCCGUCA